RNAcentral lists this unclassified non-coding RNA (248 nucleotides) under uncultured bacterium. RNAcentral describes it as "contains 16S-23S intergenic spacer region". The record is from RNAcentral.
CUUCUCUUCGGAUACUUUCCGUUAUCAUCUCCUAUUUGCAAAGCAUUACCUGAACUAAACUCGGGGUCAUAUCCUGUGUAAUCGGUCCAUGUUAAAAGGUUGAUGCCAUAUACAAACAGGCUUGCGUUACUCAGGAAAACUUUUUUGGCAAUGGCGGGCUUGAAGCGAUAAGAUAAUUUCGCACUGGUUAAUCUGAGAAAAGAAGCAUCUUCCAGGAAAUAGCUGUUACCACUUCCCCGUUGGCUGCC